This 497-nucleotide ribosomal RNA is filed under the name uncultured bacterium. RNAcentral's name for it is "partial 16S ribosomal RNA". It matches the Rfam family "Bacterial small subunit ribosomal RNA", at positions 28 to 507 of the family's 1533-position model. The record is from RNAcentral.
GAUGAACGCUGGCGGCGUGCCUAAUACAUGCAAGUCGAGCGAACAGACGAGGAGCUUGCUCCUCUGACGUUAGCGGCGGACGGGUGAGUAACACGUGGAUAUCCUACCUAUAAGACUGGGAUAACUUCGGGAAACCGGAGCUAAUACCGGAUAAUAUAUUGAACCGCAUGGUUCAAUAGUGAAAGACGGUUUUGCUGUCACUUAUAGAUGGAUCCGCGCCGCAUUAGCUAGUUGGUAAGGUAACGGCUUACCAAGGCGACGAUGCGUAGCCGACCUGAGAGGGUGAUCGGCCACACUGGAACUGAGACACGGUCCAGACUCCUACGGGAGGCAGCAGUAGGGAAUCUUCCGCAAAGGGCGAAAGCCUGACGGAGCAACGCCGCGUGAGUGAUGAAGGUCUUCGGAUCGUAAAACUCUGUUAUUAGGGAAGAACAAAUGUGUAAGUAACUAUGCACGUCUUGACGGUACCUAAUCAGAAAGCCACGGCUAACUACGUG